RNAcentral lists this ribosomal RNA (468 nucleotides) under uncultured bacterium. Its description in RNAcentral is "partial 16S ribosomal RNA". It matches the Rfam family "Bacterial small subunit ribosomal RNA", at positions 28 to 507 of the family's 1533-position model. The record is from RNAcentral.
GACGAACGCUGGCGGCGUGCUUAACACAUGCAAGUCGAACGGAAAGGCCCUGCUUUUGUGGGGUUCUCGAGUGGCGAACGGGUGAGUAACACGUGAGUAACCUGCCCUUGACUUUGGGAUAACUUCAGGAAACUGGGGCUAAUACCGGAUAGGAUCUCCUGCUGCAUUGUGGGGGUUGGAAAGUUUCGGCGGGUGGGGAUGGACGCGCGGCUUAUCAGCUUGUUGGUGGGGUAGUGGCUUACCAAGGCUUUGACGGGUGGCCGGCCUGAGAGGGUGACCGGCCACAUUGGGACUGCGAUACGGCCCAGACUGCAACGGGAGGCAGCAGUGGGGAAUAUUGCACAAUGGGAGGAAGCCUGAUGCAGCAACGCCGCGUGCGGGAUGACGGCCUUCGGGUUGUAAACAGCUUUAGCCUGUGACGAAGCGUGAGUGACGGUAAUGGGUAAAGAAGCACCGGCUAACUACGUG